Molecule: ribosomal RNA, 497 nt
Filed under: uncultured bacterium
Lineage: Bacteria
Description: partial 16S ribosomal RNA
Rfam family: Bacterial small subunit ribosomal RNA
Source: RNAcentral
GACGAACGCUGGCGGCGUGCCUAAUACAUGCAAGUUGAGCGCUGAAGGUUGGUACUUGUACCAACUGGAUGAGCAGCGAACGGGUGAGUAACGCGUGGGGAAUCUGCCUUUGAGCGGGGGACAACAUUUGGAAACGAAUGCUAAUACCGCAUAAAAACUUUAAACACAAGUUUUAAGUUUGAAAGAUGCAAUUGCAUCACUCAAAGAUGAUCCCGCGUUGUAUUAGCUAGUUGGUGAGGUAAAGGCUCACCAAGGCGAUGAUACAUAGCCGACCUGAGAGGGUGAUCGGCCACAUUGGGACUGAGACACGGCCCAAACUCCUACAGGAGGCAGCAGUAGGGAAUCUUCGGCCAUGGACGAAAGUCUGACCGAGCAACGCCGCGUGAGUGAAGAAGGUUUUCGGAUCGUAAAACUCUGUUGGUAGAGAAGAACGUUGGUGAGAGUGGAAAGCUCAUCAAGUGACGGUAACUACCCAGAAAGGGACGGCUAACUACGUG